AUUGAACGCUGGCGGCAUGCCUUACACAUGCAAGUCGAACGGUAACGGGCCUUCGGGUGCCGACGAGCGGCGAACGGGCGAGUAAUACAUCGGAACGUGCCCGAUCGUGGGGGAUAACGAGGCGAAAGCUUUGCUAAUACCGAAUACGAUCUACGGACGAAAGCAGGGGACCGCAAGGCCUUGCGCGGACGGAGCGGCCGAUGGCGGAUUAGGUAGUUGGUGGGACAAAAGCUUACCAAGCCGACGAUCUGUAGCUGGUCUGAGAGGAUGAUCAGCCACACUGGGACUGAGACACGGCCCAGACUCCUACGGGAGGCAGCAGUGGGGAAUUUUGGACAAUGGGCGCAAGCCUGAUCCAGCCAUGCCGCGUGCAGGAUGAAGGCCUUCGGGUUGUAAACUGCUUUUGUACGGAACGAAAAGCCUUCUUUUAAUACAGGAGGGUCAUGACGGUACCGUAAGAAUAAGCACCGGCUAACUACGUG
Molecule: ribosomal RNA, 482 nt
Filed under: uncultured bacterium
Lineage: Bacteria
Description: partial 16S ribosomal RNA
Rfam family: Bacterial small subunit ribosomal RNA
Source: RNAcentral